RNAcentral lists this non-coding RNA (536 nucleotides) under Syrrhopodon mahensis. RNAcentral describes it as "partial contains tRNA-Leu, trnL-trnF intergenic spacer, and tRNA-Phe". The stretch from base 16 to 341 matches the Rfam family "Group I catalytic intron". Rfam says of the family: Group I catalytic introns are large self-splicing ribozymes. They catalyse their own excision from mRNA, tRNA and rRNA precursors in a wide range of organisms. The core secondary structure consists of 9 paired regions (P1-P9). The record is from RNAcentral. Lineage: Eukaryota; Viridiplantae; Streptophyta; Bryopsida; Dicranales; Calymperaceae.
CGAAAUCGGUAGACGCUACGGACUUAAAGAAUUUGAGCUUUAGUAGAAAAAUUUACUAAAUGUUAGCUUUCAAAUUCAGGAAAACUUAGGUUGAAAAAACAUAUAAGCAAUCCUGAGCCAAAUAUGUUAUUUUUUUAUGUUAUUUUGUAAAAAUAAAAAAUAUUAAAAAAUAGAAAAAUAGGUGCAGAGACUCGAUGGAAGCUAUCCAAAUGCAAAAAACUUUAAUAUUAUUUAAUUGAAAUUUAUACGUUAAUGGAAAUAAAAAAAUUUAACUAAAUUAUUGUUUAGUUAAAUAAUAAGUGAGGAUAAAGAUAGAGUCCAAAUUUAUAUGUUAAUGUUUUUAACAAUAAUUUAAAUUGUAGUAAAAAGAAAAUCCGUUGGUUUUAUUAACCGUGAGGGUUCAAGUCCCUCUACCCCCAAAAUUAUAAAUUUUUUUUAUUGACAUAAUUGUUUAGGUUAUGUUAAGAUAGUCCAAAUAAAAAGCCGGAAUAGCUCAGUUGGUAGAGCAGAGGACUGAAAAUCCUCGUGUCACCAGU